GGGGAAGAUUGUUGAAUUUUGAAUUUUGAUGAUGAAAUCAAUUGGUAAAUUGUUUGAUCCAAUCUAUAUAUUGAGAAAAAUAUACAGGAUUAACUACUAUAACGAUCAAGGCAUAAAACAAAACGAAAUACCGAAGUCAAGAUUGAGAAUUCUUUGGGAGUUCGAGAGUUCAUCGGGAGUCCGGAGGUUCGUUGGAAGUGCCGCCAGAAUUUGCCAAGAAGAAGCUCAUCGGAACUCGCUAAGAAGAUCAUCGUGAAGUCCAAGAGCUUGCCGGGAGUCCGCUGGAAGAUUGCCGAAAGAUCGUCGGAAGUCCGCCGGAAGAUCGUCGGAAGCUCACUGGAAGAAACCUAGACAUAUCAGACUUGUUUUGUUUAGUGUAUGCCUUAAAUGAAGUUAGCUUAUAAUUAGGGUUAGGUUUGGGAGGUAAUCCCAUUAAACCUAUUACGAGCCAACUAGACCCGUAAUUGGACUGGUUUGGGCUGGAUUCAAAGUCCAAACAGGUUGCUAAACCUUGUCUGACGCUGGCACCACCAUACUAGGGCGAUGGAACCGCCCAGGGCUCAAUCACCAAGAAGCCUGGGCAGUGGUACCAUCGAUAAUUAUUGCUGCCAAGUGGUGGUACCGUCCUGUUAGGCGGUGGUACCAUCCUGUCAAGCGAUGGUACCACUAGAGCCCAGUAUUCGAGACUCUGUUAGGUGGUAGUACCGCCAGGCCGGGAAGUGGUACCACCCAAUGUCAAAGUGUCAAGCAGUGGUACCGCUAGUACCCCGAAAACCCGGGAUGAGACACUUUUAGACUCUAAUUUUGAAGCCAUUAUGGCCUAUAAAUAUCCCAUUCCUUUCUGCAUGAAAGUAUAUCAAACUGUGAAUAAAAUCUUAAAGUGUUGAGGUGUGAAAGAUUUACAAAAGUGAUGUGUCCUCCUCCUCCCUCUCUAUGUUUUAUGAUCAUUGAAGUGAGGUGCAAGACUUGUAAGGGUUCUUUCCUAAACCCAUGAAAAGGAGAAAGUAUUGUAAGAGAGUGGUUAGUCUUCACCCAUUAAAGGAAGACCAUUAGUGGACGCCGGUGACCUCGACGGAGGAGAAAUCGGAAGUGGACGUCAGUCACAAUGACCGAACCAUUAUAAAUCCGAUGUGUUCUUUCCUUACUGCUUUCUUUCAUUACUUAUCUACACUCUAGGCUUUACAUUUAUCCUAAGUUAUUACUUUCAUUACUUUUCGAUACGAGCUUUGACGAAACAAUUUUAUCAAACGAAACUUUCCAAUCAACAUAAUUUUUAUCACUGCACUAAUCCCCUCCCCCCUCUUAGUGACGUAUUGAUCCUAACAAGCUUAGGGUGGUAUUUUAUAUUUUCCCUAUUGAUUAGAUUUUUUUGAAAUUACAAGAACAUUUGCAUAAAUAUGUUUAGCCUCAGGUCUAGUGUCAGUGCCAUACAAGACUGUUUUAACUAUCAUGGUCUUCAUGACAAUAAUUUUCAAGAAAAGUUACUCUUUGAAAGUCUAGUUCUACUUUUUCGGUUGUCUAUCAUGUCCUACCGAAUCUUUAAGAAAAUAUGUACAUGCCAAAUUCUCAUGAAGAAUUUGUUCACUUUUGUUUGUAUUUUGCAAUAUGGAAAAUUAGUUCCACGUCCAACCCAAUAGGUAUUAUGUUUAAUCAUAUAUACCCUAACAUGUAUCAAGAAGCAAAUAUACACAAAUCUAAAUCUUUAAGGUUACACGUAAAAUCUAGAGGGACAAAUAUGGUAUUAUAAAGGUUUGGCAAGUAUAUAUACAAAAAUUUGAAGAUAAGCAAGCAAAAUACAAAGUAACAAGGCUUCUUAUGAAUCAACAAACACAGUAGAAAGACAUACCCUAGGUGUUAACAAUGGUUCUGCUGUCGUUGAUGACGAGAACAAUAACUACUCCAGGGGUCUGAAUAAGGGUGCAU
Molecule: long non-coding RNA, 1923 nt
Filed under: Musa acuminata (dwarf banana)
Lineage: Eukaryota; Viridiplantae; Streptophyta; Magnoliopsida; Zingiberales; Musaceae
Description: long non-coding RNA (MACU_LNC011301)
Source: RNAcentral